Priapulus caudatus is the source of this 121-nucleotide long non-coding RNA. RefSeq lists it as uncharacterized. The record is from RefSeq and is a predicted model, not a curated record. The transcript has 3 exons. Lineage: Eukaryota; Metazoa; Priapulida; Priapulimorpha; Priapulimorphida; Priapulidae.
GUACAGCUUGAACUUGGUGCAGAUGCUCAAUGUGCCGCUAAUUGACAUGUGAUAUAUUGAUAUAUUGUUUUUAAAGGCAAUUCAGCCAAUUAUGUGAUAGUAACACUGCAGUUACGCAGUU